UGCUACAUAAUCAACUGGAGUGAUUGUUAAGAAUUUGACAGGCCUUUCUCUGCUUCCUCUCUGUCUUUACCUCCCCAGGAGCCAUAUGAAAAUGGAGCAGUAUGCGAGGCAAAUGUUUAUGCCUGGAGAACCCAGGGGAACAGAACCCAGAAUGUUUGAAGACCACUGAUCCAGAAUACACAGCUUAUAAACUACAGCUGAUUUUCCAUCCCACAGGAAGAAAACCUCUUGCCGAAGAAUUUCCUCUAGCUCUUGUUUAGCCAAAUCUAUCGAUCCAGCUGAGAGGAGAAAGGAGGGUAAACUUCAUUAUUAUUUUCAGAGACACACAUUCAAAGGGUAUAGGAGACAUAGUAACCUAUUUUUACUGUAGAAGAGUGGACGACAAGACUAAUUCUUCCUAAGGAGAUAGAUUGGGAAGGUUUUAUAGAAGAGAUUUCUCAAAAGAAGUGUGGCAUAGAAAGCACUGAUAAACUCUUGAUAAGAGAAAGUGGAUAAGGGACAUUUUGAAAAGAAAGAAAUAGCAUAAAUAAAGGAAAAAGGAGGCAAAAAUACAGGGCUUGUUUGGUGACUAGCAUGAGGCUCCAUGUGAUUAAAAGGUAAAGUCCAAUAGGUGGAAUGGGGAGACUGCAGUGGCUGAGGCCAUUUCAUGGAAGCCUUGAAUGCCUUGCUAACUUUAACAUUUUUAGAAAGCAAUGGGAAAAAACCCGAAGUUUUUGAGUUUAUUUUGCUUUUAAAGCUAGGAACUCACUUUUUCCAAGUUUUACACUAGAAGGAGUAAUUCGGCAGCAUUGUGUAUCCGGGUAACUAGGAGAAGAACACCUGGGGCACUGAUGCAAUUGUCCAGAAGGCAAAUACAACAGCCUAAAUUAUGACAAUGAAAUCGUGAGAAUGGAGAAGAUGCAUUCAGAAGACAUCAUAGAAACACAUUUGGAAGGACUUCUCAAUUAGAUGGGGGACUGGAAGAAUGGUACUGUUAAUUAAAAUUGAGUUGUAAGAAAGACAAAGUGUUGGGUAAGAGGUGAGGAGGGUAGUGACUUAGGUCAGGUUUUCUGAGAUGAUGGAGAUUUGCAUGUAGGAAGUUUGUUGAGGAGUUUGAUGAUUCUGUAGGAGGACUCAGAGGAUUCAGCAUAUAGUUGUACUCACAGCUGUAAUUUAUUAUAGCAAAAGGAUUUUGAGAAUGACAGCAAAGGGAAAAGGUGCAUGAGAUGAAGUCCAGAGGAAAUCAAGAACAAGCUUCCAAGAGUUCUUUCCCAGUGGAGUCAAACAUGACAUGUGCGGCAACACUUAAGAAAUGAUGUCCACCAGGGAAGCUCAGCUGAGACUCCGUGCCUAGGGUUUUUAUUCAGGACUGGUCCUGUAGGUAUUCUUAGCCUAGCAUGUAACACAAUUCCAGGCUCCUGUAAGAAAAGCAGGUGUUUGGCAUAAACCACAUUGUUUUAACAAACGGUUUAGGCAUGAUGAGCUUCUUUUAUCAAUUCUGGGAAUGGUAUGAAUCCUACUGAAAUCCUAGUUCCUAGAUGUCAGCCACGGGCCAAACUUGUAAGCUUCUGUUUCAAAGAAUGGCAGUCCUAGGCUGCCAUGCUAACUCUUAGCAUGGGUGUGCUUGUAGGAAUAGUACCUAUGUAGAAGAAAGGGCACACGACAGGGCCAAGGGAAAAUGAUUCAACUGAACCAAAAAAGCAGUUGCAACAAAGGCCUUAGCCAAUUGCACAGACAAGCUCUGGAGCUAAAUGGCUCUUCAAAGAUGUGCUAAAUUGAGGUGGCGGGUUAGGCCUUCCUACCCUCACAUUGACCAGAUAUUUAUAGAUCUCUGAAACUAAGAGAAGCAAUUCCUUGAGCAUUUCUUGGGGAAGGAAGACGGAACUUAGCAACCUUUCAGAAAACCGAGUCAUUGAGCAUUUCAGUCCUGUGGUUGUCAUACCCCAGCUCUCUCCUCAGAGGACAUGAUGAACUGAGUGUUGCUGGUUCUAUCAAUGGCUCCAUUGCUUCUUUGCUAAUGAGAUCUAACCACACUGAAGACGUUGGAAUUCUAAUUUAAAAAAUUCAAAUUCCACAGUAUCUAAAUACAAGCAAUGUGUACAUAGGUUAUAUAGAACAGAAAAUUUCUGAAGUAUCUUGGCACCUAAGGGCCCUGAGAACAACCCUGAAUUUUCUCCAAAAGGCCAUAUGGAGAGCACCACUCACUCAUCACAAAUAUCUGGCAAAAUCCUUUUCCAACCCCACUAGCCACUUAGAGGAAUUCUGCCUUGAAAUGCUUUGCCAAGCACAACGGAAUCUGCCCCACUGCCAGGUAAAGGUAGCAUCCUAUCCUGUUUGCAAGUAGUUGUGCAUACAAUGAUACUUUGACAGCUUGGUUUUCACAUCUCUUUUAAAAAAAAUUAGGUCUUCUGAUCACAUGUAAACUCCAACAGUCUGUAUUAAAAUUCUUUUUUGGAAAUUUAAAUUAAAUUUAUUUUUAGAGACAUGAUCUCGCUCUGUCACCCAGGCUGAAAUGGCACAAUCACAGCUCACUGCAGCCUCAAGCUCCUGCAUUCAAGACAUACUCCUGCCUCAGCCUCCCACAUAACUAAGACUACAAACAUGCACCAUCACACUGAGCUAAGUUUCUAAAUCUUUUUUCUAGAGAUGGAGUCUUGCUAUGUUGCCCAGGCUGGUCCUCAAAUUCCUGGCCUCACGUGACCCUCCUGCCUUGGCCUCCCAAAGUGCUGAGAUUAUAGGCAUGAGUCACUACACCUGGCUUACAAUUCUUAUAAUUGAGAAAAUUUAGAUUUAGAGAUUAUAGGAUGAACACAGGGACUGUCUGCCAGUAAGCAGCAGAUCCAGGGCUGAGUUCUGGAGUCGAAUCUCCAGUGUUCUUUUCACUCCCCUACAAACAUCUGAGUCACUGUCAAAUCCCUCUCCUAGAAAACAGACCCAGGGUCCCAGGUGUGCUUCAGGGAAACUGAAAAUUCUAUUUUUUUUUAAUUUAAGAAAUUAAAAAAAAAUUUAUGUUGUUCUAGUUGUGGCUGAAGUGCCGGAAUCACUAGCAAAUGAGAGACUAACAGACAUAACUUAAUGAACAAGGACAUUAUGAAGGUCUGCAAAGAGCAAUUCCUGCUUUGGGAAUUCAAGUAUUCUGCUGUAUGAGAGAGAUUCUGUUGAUUUUGGAAAUACCGUGAAUCAUUUCCUGAAAGAGCAAAAUAAUGGAGGCUUUUUAUUCCAAGUUUCCAAGAAAUGUUGUCUAAAGGCAGAAGACACUUGGGAAUAUCAGGCUAUGUGUACAGGCUGUUGUGCCCUGGUCAGUACUGGACCUUUCCUCUUAAACACUGGACAACGACUGGAGAAGCAUCUAUGCCCUGGCAGGUGCUAUCUGCCUCCUGAGUGGUCGUGCAGUUGAGGGAGAAGGCUCAUUUCUCUUUGUGCAUUUUAGUAGGUUAUGUUA
Molecule: long non-coding RNA, 3421 nt
Filed under: Callithrix jacchus (white-tufted-ear marmoset)
Lineage: Eukaryota; Metazoa; Chordata; Mammalia; Primates; Cebidae
Description: lncRNA (ENSCJAG00000077791.1)
Source: RNAcentral